This 336-nucleotide long non-coding RNA is filed under the name Prunus persica (peach). RNAcentral describes it as "long non-coding RNA (PPER_LNC007673)". Lineage: Eukaryota; Viridiplantae; Streptophyta; Magnoliopsida; Rosales; Rosaceae. The record is from RNAcentral.
GAUGUGAGAGAAGAAUGCCAGCGACGGAAUAUCAAGGGUCGUCAGCUGGGUUCAACAAUAUUGGCCGUUCAAUCUUCAGCCUCCGACGCGAUCAGUUUAAUUCAAUGGAAGCCCAGAGCCAUAGCGGUGGUCAAGGAGCUGUAGACCUCGACUCUUUCCAAACCCACGUCGCCGAUUGCUUCAUCCACCUCUCCUCUUCCUCCCAAGACAUCCUUUCCCUCCAAUGGCUCCGAGACCUCCUCGACGCCUUCCUCCAAAUCCAGCAAGAAUUCAAGAACCUCCUCCUCUCCUCCAUCAACAAGCCCCUCCUCUCCAAGCCCACCGUCGACCGCUUCC